This 487-nucleotide long non-coding RNA is filed under the name Anser brachyrhynchus (Pink-footed goose). RNAcentral's name for it is "lncRNA (ENSABRG00000015864.1)". The record is from RNAcentral. Lineage: Eukaryota; Metazoa; Chordata; Aves; Anseriformes; Anatidae.
UCUAAAGCUGUGAGAGUAACAGUAGUGUAGAGAAAUGUAAGUGGACAAAAGAACAGUGUCCAAUGUAUUUGAGAUGAACAAUUACAUUUGAAAUGUUGUUGUCUUUGCAGAGGCUCUUGUAGGAGUUCAGAAGAAAGAUCUUAUCUAGAAGUUUGAUAAAAGAUUAAUGGUGUCCUGUAUGCUGCUGAAUUCCCUUUUAAUCUAUGAAGAAGGCAUCUUUCAUUAGAGAGACUGAUGACUAUUACUACAAAUAUCCCACAGAGUGUUCGAUUAUGCUGGAAGGAGGAUGAAAAUGACAUGCCAGAAGCUACGCAAGAGAGAUGAUGCACAUUAUUCUAAUUUUAUGAGUGGAAUUACUUUUUGUUCAUUCAAAAAGGAUGAAAUCUUAUGACUGCUGUUACUGAGGUCUGUGUUAUUUAUUUUAAAUUAAGUGUUCUAAUAUUGUUCACAGAGAAGAAAAUAUACUAUGGAAAAACUAGCUCCAAUG